CGUCCUCCACCGCUCGGCACCUAUUGUCCACCAUUAGGUCUUCCAAUCAAAAGAAGGCAGAUGUUAUUCGUCAUCCAUAUUUUGCCAUCGUCUCAUCACCGUUUAAUAUAUUUUCAAUUGUUGUUCGUCGAAUUCACAUCUUCUUGAAAGACUUGAAAGAGCACCGCCAUCAUCAUCUUCAUCGUUUCUCACACCAUUUUCUAUUUUCCGUCUGCUGAUUUCUUUGUUCAUAUCAUAACGGAGGACGAUACGGAGGAAGACAAACUUCACUUGAUGAACAAAUUCUCGAUUUGACGUCGUGCUCACUCCCAUCUGUUUCUAUAUAUGAUUAGGGUUGUAUGCCUUUUUUUCUACUCUCGUAUUCUUGUUUUUCGUUGUUACAGUUACCUUUUUGUGCAUUUGUUGAUAGUAGGGAGAUUGUUUGAAAGACAAAUAAAAAACUACAAGGGAUUCAAAAUAAAGUUCUCAACGGUUUGGCGAAUAUUAUUUCUUUUAGGGCCAUGAAUUUAAUAUAUUUUUCUUUUUUUCCAAUAAUACCAGUUUUAAUUAUAUCUGUUUGUUAGAUAAAUUGUGUGAGUUUAAUGAUUUUCAUAAAUUACGUGACAUUUUAAGUAAUUAUUUUCGGUUACUUUUAAUCGUUUUUGGGAUUUAAAUAUUUAUAUACAUAUUUAAAGGACAUGGCGUUUAGGAAUAGUGACUAUUUCAUUCACCUUCAGCGUCCUCCGCUGCUCGGUACCUAUUGUCCACCGUUGGGUCUUCCAGUUAGAAGAAGGCAGAUGUUAUUCACCGUCAAUCGUUUUCCUUCUUCUUAUCACCGUUUAAUAUCUUUUCAAUUGUUGUUCGUCGAAUUCUUGUCUUCUUGAAAGAGCACCGCCAUCAUAAUCUUCAUCGUUUCUCACACCAUUUUCUAUUUUUCGUCUGUUAAUUUUUUUGUUCAUAUCUCAACGGAGGAAGACAAAUUUCACUUGAUGAACAAAUUCUCGAUUUGACGUCGUGUUCACUCCCAUAUGUUUCUAUAUACAAUUAGUGUUGUACGCUUUUUUUUCAACUCUCGCAUUCCUAUUUUUCGUUGUUAUAGUUACCUUUUUGUGUUUUUUUGAUGUACAGGUCGUCGGAGAUGAUGAAGUGCAAAGUCUUGCGGUGAGUUCCAUUCCUUUUCACUCCCGCUACUACCACAACCUAUGAACUUAUUUGGGGCAAAAUACAGACAUUGCCACCGAUGGAGAAGAAGACCCGAAAAAACCAUGGCUCUGUCAAUUAAUACCUCUCAUCGUUCCCCCUUUUCUCUAUGAAAUGUUGGCUUCCACUUCUCCUGUCACCUUCAUCGUCGUCAUUUACCAACUGUAGAAAUCGGGUCUCAACCAACGAAAGCCCUAAACUCUGAUAGAUUUGUAAGGAGCGAUGACUGUACAUGCUCAAUCGAUAAUUUAUUUUUUUAGGUAAUUCUCACCACAAACCACUAUGCUUAGGUCUAUUGCUUUUUCAAUUAGCAGUUACUUCCACUACUGAAUGAAAGUAAUUAUUUUUCCAAAGUUUUGUCGUCUGCUUCAUUCAUCUCUGUCAUUCUCAAAUCUAAAGACAACGCCUGUGACCAGUUUCAGAAUGCGAAUGAUAUCCACGUGAGGAUAUUGACCGGCUAUUUUUUUUUUUUUUGAUUUCAUAAAGAUUGAAAUUUUAUGAAUCUUAAUUUUCCUAAUUUUUUUGUUGUUAUUUGUACAUAUAGGCACCUUUUAUAUGAACCAUUGUUCCAAAUUGAUUGAUUACACCAUCAACUGCUUUAAAAGAAGGGACACGUGAAAAGAUAGAUGAUGCUAUUUUCCUUGAUUCCUUUUGUUCAUUCCAUUGGUUUUGGUCUAGGUAAUGCAAUCUAAUAACGUUUAGUAUUGUAGUGGCUCUUUCAGGUUAUGAGUUUCAGACGGAUUUUUGCAUAAAGGUAUGGGCUAAUUGCUUGUAGGCCAAAUUGAGCAUUUUUUUCUUCAAAAAAUUAGGACAUUUGUUGAUAAUGAAUCAACUUUACUGUAGUAGACAUAUUGGUUGCAUGAAUGAGCUUACUGGAAAAGCUUUGAUAUGUGAUGAUCUAAAGCUUUUUGCUUUUAUUGUAUAUCGAUGAAAGUUGUCUAUAUAUCUUGAUUGCUUCUAAACUCAUUUUUGCUCUAUAGGAAAUAGUACAGUGUAGUGUGUGUUGUAUUUGUUCUUUGUGCAUUAUUUCAUUACUUUUUUGUCGUUGUUGUUUUGUUGUAUUUCAUACUUGGCAUUAACAAAAUGUUUUUCUGUUCUAGACUUUUAGUUUGUUGAUAAAUUAUUUUGUUUUGUUUAGUUGAUUAGUUCUAUUGCUACUCGUCCACUUCAGCUUAGUAUGUUUGUUAGUGGUAGAAUUGAAAAAAAAAGUUAAUUAAAUUGAGCUAAGUAUAGCUUGGGAGUCUUUGGUAGUGGAAGACAUUUUGGGUAAUUUAGGUUUUAUUUUUGUUAGAAGUUUAGCUAUAUGAUGGGAUCAAUGAGGGGGAGGGUAUCACCAAAGGUGUUAAAAUGGGUGGGUUGUUUUGGGUUUGCUAAUACAUUUGUAUCGUAGUUUGGAAAAAUAUUUACGGAAAGAAUGUGUUUUAAGUUGUAUUUAGUAAAGCAUAGUAAAAACAUAUUAAUUAAGAUAAAAUAAUAAUAAAACAACCCUACGUUUUUCUAAUUCCAACACUUUUCAGAAUUUUGAACCCUUACGGUGAAGCCUCAUUACUUCUAUAAUGGUAUCUCAAUAUUUUUAGGUGUAAAUCAAUUUAUAUAUAAUAAUCACAUCCAUCCCAUACUCAUCCCAUGCAAGUUAAGUGUGAAGGACGGAUACUGGCUCUUUAGGACUGAUAGUAGUUGCUCUUCUGGUAGUAUAGUUGGUAGAUAAGCUUAGGCUAGCUCUCUUCUUUCUUAUGAGAGAGAUUCGCAAUAGGGGCAUUUAUCUGUAAGAAGAAGGCCUCUUACAACUAUCAGAUAUAGGGGAUUUACUUCACCUUGAAUAACUAUCGAAAAAUAGCUUUCUUUUCGGCCGCUUUCAUAUUUCAUUAAGGUAGUUUUCUUACUUAGUGUUUUCAUUAAGGUAACGACUUCACUUUAACUUUUUAUUAGAGGAAAGGGAAGGCCUCCAUAAGGAGGAAGAACAAGAGCUACAUUGGUAAGACGCUCUGCAAGUGGAAGGUCACAUAAGGGCUCCGUAUGGGAUCACCUCCUAGUUAUUAUGAAUGUUCAGUUAUAACACAUAUAUAAACACUGAUUUUUUUUUGUUUUUUGUUUUUUUUUUUUUGCUUUUUUUUAUUUUCCUCAUGCGUCAAAUCUCAAUGAAAAUGAUAAACUCAUAAACAUAAACUUACAUUUCUUCCUUCAUCCUUCAUAUUCACGAUGCACAAAUUCACUAUGUCGAGAAUCCAGAUCCAUACGAAUAUACGCUGCAAUGUUGCAUUAACACAUAUGUAUACUCAUUUUGGCCCAAUUUACGUUUAACAAAAAAAUUACAAGAUGCAACUCAUAAAGGCCCAACUUGUGUAUACCCAUGAGUAUAAGCAUGAUCAUUGAUAUUGAUAUUGUUUAAAGAUAUUUCGUCCCAUUUUUACACUAUAAUGACAAAAUUACAUAAGUGGUCCAU
RNAcentral lists this long non-coding RNA (3622 nucleotides) under Lactuca sativa (garden lettuce). Its description in RNAcentral is "long non-coding RNA (LSAT_LNC009224)". Lineage: Eukaryota; Viridiplantae; Streptophyta; Magnoliopsida; Asterales; Asteraceae. The record is from RNAcentral.